This 324-nucleotide ribosomal RNA is filed under the name uncultured Acidobacteriota bacterium. RNAcentral's name for it is "bacterial SSU rRNA". It matches the Rfam family "Bacterial small subunit ribosomal RNA", at positions 33 to 358 of the family's 1533-position model. The record is from RNAcentral. Lineage: Bacteria; Pseudomonadati; Acidobacteriota.
ACGCUGGCCGCGCGCCUAACACAUGCAAGUCGAACGAGAAAGCCGGGGCAACCUGGUGAGUACAGUGGCGUACGGGUGAGUAACACGUGGAUGAUCUACCUCUGGGUGGGGAAUAACCCUGGGAAACCGGGGCUAAUACCGCAUAAUCCGCUCCUGCAAAGGGGAUGGAAAAGUCGAAAGACGCCGGGAGAGGAGUCCGCGGCCGAUUAGCUAGUUGGCAGGGUAAAAGCCUACCAAGGCUUGGAUCGGUAGCCGGCCUGAGAGGGCACACGGCCACACUGGCACUGAAACACGGGCCAGACUCCUACGGGAGGCAGCAGUGGG